RNAcentral lists this ribosomal RNA (429 nucleotides) under Actinomycetes bacterium. RNAcentral's name for it is "Actinobacteria bacterium partial 16S ribosomal RNA". It matches the Rfam family "Bacterial small subunit ribosomal RNA", at positions 355 to 776 of the family's 1533-position model. The record is from RNAcentral. Lineage: Bacteria; Bacillati; Actinomycetota; Actinomycetes.
UAGGGAAUCUUCCGCAAUGGGCGAAAGCCUGACGGAGCAACGCCGCGUGAGUGAUGAAGGUCUUCGGAUCGUAAAACUCUGUUAUUAGGGAAGAACAAAAGUGUAAGUAACUAUGCACGUCUUGACGGUACCUAAUCAGAAAGCCACGGCUAACUACGUGCCAGCAGCCGCGGUAAUCCGUAGGUGGCAAGCGUUAUCCGGAAUUAUUGGGCGUAAAGCGCGCGUAGGCGGUUUUUUAAGUCUGAUGUGAAAGCCCACGGCUCAACCGUGGAGUGUCAUUGGAAACUGGAAAACUUGAGUGCAGAAGAGGAAAGGGGAAUUCCAUGUGUAGCGGUGAAAUGCGCAGAGAUAUGGAGGAACACCAGUGGCGAAGGCGACUUUCUGGUCUGUAACUGACGCUGAUGUGCGAAAGCGUGGGGAUCAAACAGG